UGGGGAAUUUUGGACAAUGGGCGAAAGCCUGAUCCAGCAAUGCCGCGUGUGUGAAGAAGGCCUUCGGGUUGUAAAGCACUUUUGUCCGGAAAGAAAUCCUUGGCUCUAAUACAGUCGGGGGAUGACGGUACCGGAAGAAUAAGCACCGGCUAACUACGUGCCAGCAGCCGCGGUAAUACGUAGGGUGCAAGCGUUAAUCGGAAUUACUGGGCGUAAAGCGUGCGCAGGCGGUUUGCUAAGACCGAUGUGAAAUCCCCGGGCUCAACCUGGGAACUGCACUGGUGACUGGCAGGCUAGAGUAUGGCAGAGGGGGGUAGAAUUCCACGUGUAGCAGUGAAAUGCGUAGAGAUGUGGAGGAAUACCGAUGGCGAAGGCAGCCCCCUGGGCCAAAUACUGACGCUCAUGCACGAAGGCGUGGGGAGCAAACAGGAUUAGAUACCCUGGUAGUCCACGCCCUAAACGAUGUCAACUAGUUGUUGGGGAUUCAUUUCCUUAGUAACGUAGCUAACGCGUGAAGUUGACCGCCUGGGGAGUACGGUCGCAAGAUUAAAACUCAAAUGAAUUGACGGGGUCAUAGCUGUUUCCU
This 586-nucleotide ribosomal RNA is filed under the name uncultured bacterium. RNAcentral's name for it is "partial 16S ribosomal RNA". It matches the Rfam family "Bacterial small subunit ribosomal RNA", at positions 355 to 1375 of the family's 1533-position model. The record is from RNAcentral.